This 1317-nucleotide ribosomal RNA is filed under the name uncultured Alphaproteobacteria bacterium. RNAcentral's name for it is "bacterial SSU rRNA". It matches the Rfam family "Bacterial small subunit ribosomal RNA", at positions 29 to 1393 of the family's 1533-position model. Lineage: Bacteria; Pseudomonadati; Pseudomonadota; Alphaproteobacteria. The record is from RNAcentral.
ACGUACGCUGGCGGCACGCCUAACACAUGCAAGUCGAACGAAGUAGCAAUACUUAGUGGCAGACGGGUGAGUAACAUGUGGGUAUCUGCCCUUUGGCCUGGAAUAACACGAGGAAACUUGUGCUAAUACCGGAUAAGUCUUUACGGAGAAAGCUUUAUGCACCAUUGGAUGAGCCUGCACUUGAUUAGUUUGUUGGUGGGGUAAUGGCCUACCAAGACUGUGAUCAAUAGCUGAUUUGAGAGGAUGAUCAGCCACAUUGGGACUGAGACACGGCCCAAACUCCUACGGGAGGCAGCAGUGGGGAAUCUUGCACAAUGGAGGAAACUCUGAUGCAGCGAUGCCGCGUGAGUGAAGAAGGCCCUUGGGUUGUAAAGCUCUUUCGUCGGGGAAGAAAAUGACUGUACCCGAAUAAGAAGGUCCGGCUAACUUCGUGCCAGCAGCCGCGGUAAUACGAAGGGACCUAGCGUAGUUCGGAAUUACUGGGCUUAAAGAGUUCGUAGGUGGUUGAAAAAGUUAGUGGUGAAAUCCCAGAGCUUAACUCUGGAACUGCCAUUAAAACUUUUCAGCUAGAGUAUGAUAGAGGAAAGCAGAAUUUCUAGUGUAGAGGUGAAAUUCGUAGAUAUUAGAAAGAAUACCAAUUGCGAAGGCAGCUUUCUGGAUCAUUACUGACACUGAGGAACGAAAGCAUGGGUAGCGAAGAGGAUUAGAUACCCUCGUAGUCCAUGCCGUAAACGAUGUGUGUUAGACGUUGGAAAUUUAUUUUCAGUGUCGCAGGGAAACCGAUAAACACACCGCCUGGGGAGUACGACCGCAAGGUUAAAACUCAAAUGAAUUGACGGGGACCCGCACAAGUAGUGGAGCAUGUGGUUUAAUUCGAAGAUACGCGCAGAACCUUACCAACACUUGACAUGUUCGUCGCGACUCUAAGAGAUUAGAGUUUUCGGUUCGGCCGGACGAAACACAGGUGCUGCAUGGCUGUCGUCAGCUCGUGUCGUGAGAUGUUGGGUUAAGUCCCGCAACGAGCGCAACCCUCACUUUUAGUUGCCAUCAUUAAGUUGGGCACUCUGAAAGAACUGCCAGUGAUAAGCUGGAGGAAGGUGGGGAUGACGUCAAGUCCUCAUGGCCCUUACGUGUUGGGCUACACACGUGCUACAAUGGUAUCUACAACAGGAAGCAAGACGGCGACGUCAAGCAAAUCCCUAAAAGAUACCUCAGUUCGGAUUGCACUCUGCAACUCGAGUGCAUGAAGCUGGAAUUACUAGUAAUCGUGGAUCAGCGUGCCACGGUGAAUGCGUUCCCGGGUCUUGUACUCACCGC